RNAcentral lists this long non-coding RNA (385 nucleotides) under Notechis scutatus (mainland tiger snake). Its description in RNAcentral is "lncRNA (ENSNSUG00000012036.1)". Lineage: Eukaryota; Metazoa; Chordata; Lepidosauria; Squamata; Elapidae. The record is from RNAcentral.
AUUUAAAUUUUGAUUUAAAUUCAGGAAGUUCUGGAAAAAGAUAGAUUCUUAUUUAUAUGUAUCUCUGUUUAAGCAAUUCUGAAAAAACAGAUGAUGAUAGCUGGCUUUCUUCAGAAGAGGAGGAACUAGGCUCCAGCCCCAAGAAACCAGAAAAACCAAGUUUGGCUCGGCUAAUGAAAGUUCCAUGGGACUUCUUGAAAAAAUGUAAGUUGCGUGAACAAAAUAAGUUAUGGUUAUAUUUCUUAUCUAUAGAAAACGUUUACUGCAUUUUAAUUCUCUGUGUGUUUGUAUUUUGAUGCAGUAGAUGAGAAAGAUUGCACUAUCCGAACAGAACCCUUAGGCAGUUCACAGCAAAAUAAAGCAAAUUAUGAUUUUGAAGAAUGCA